CAGCUUCUAAAGCUACUUUCCUUGGCUCAUGGGCUCUUCCUCCACCUCCAAAGACAGCACUAUCUUCGAAUCUUUCUCUCUGCUUCCAUUAUUACAUCAUCUUCCACCCUCUGUGUCUCAUAGAAUCUCUCUUUCCUUCCAGAGCCUGUCCAGAUCAUCCAGGAUAAGCUCCAUCUCAAAUUCCUCAACAUAAUCUCAUCUGCAGAGCUCUGUCAACCAUUUUUGCCACCCUCAGAUUCCUCAUCUGGAAGUGAUAUAUGCAAAUAUGAAGUAAAUUAGGAAGGCUGAUCUGCCACUGGACUGGUAGAAGGGGAAGGCAGGAGCUGAAGAGCACCUUGUCUUGGGCAAAUGAGACCUGACACUACUCCUCUCUUCCCCAUGUGUUUCUCCCCUCCACACUGGCCAGAGUUCCUGAUGAGGACGUGGUAGUACAAGCAAAGAAAUCUGGAGCUGGAGCUCCUACGAUCUGAGUUCAAGUCCCAGCCCUGUCAGCAACUUGCAGCAUGACCUCAGAUGAGGCCGUGUAUGGUAUAAAAGGUUCUGCUCUGGAAAUCGAGAGACCUGGAUCCCAACUUCAAUUCUCUUAUCACCUGACGGAAUAACUUGAAAGGAGUCAACCCUUCCAAGCUGAAACUUUAAGAGUUUCAAGAGUCAAAACAGCUGAGUCAAUGCUCUGAAGGACUCUAUUUCCUCCUCUGUAGAACAGCAGCAGUGGAGCACAGAGAAGCAGAGCAUUUUGGGGACGAGAUGCCAGCCUCAAAUCCACUUCCUAGACACAGGGCAAUCUCUUCAAAUAAGCGAAUCACUUACUAACCCCAUCUGUGCCUUAGUUUCCUCAUUUGUCAGUGGAGAUGAUAGCAGGACUGACCUCAGGGGUUGUUCUGAGGAUUAAAUGGAAUAAUCCUGCACAUAGAGCCUUUUGCAGGUCCCAAGCACACAGCGAGCUUUGGAUAUCUGGUGGCUAUUUUUGCCCUUGUUAUGUAUCAUUCCAGAGUUGUGUAACCUGUGGCCUCGCCAACUUGACACAACUCCUAUGCCCUGUAAAAGUCAAAGGACAUUUCACAGAGGAGACAAUGUCUGGCAGAAGUUUAAAGGGUUCCCUUCUCCCAGUCCCACCUGCCCUGCCUCUAAUGCCUUUCCUGGCUUCAGAAAGAAGAAACAGAUUCCCCAGGGGCUCCAGGCACAAGGCCGGGACCCCUGAUGAGCUAAUCCAGGUGGGAUGAGUAUGUGUCUCUAUCCUGACAGGGUCUGCUGAAUAGCACUGCCAAAUUCUAUUUCCUUUCCAUUUAGUGAAGUGGAUAGAAAUAAUGCAGGCUUAACCUUUUCCCACUUUCCCUGCCAGCAUUUAUUCAGAGACGGUUUUGUUGUUGUUACUGAUUUUGCUGUUUUUGUUUUAUUGUGAUUCUUCAGGUUAGAAUACGUAUUUAUUUUGUAG
Molecule: non-coding RNA, 1435 nt
Organism: Callithrix jacchus (white-tufted-ear marmoset)
Lineage: Eukaryota; Metazoa; Chordata; Mammalia; Primates; Cebidae
Source: RefSeq, a predicted model, not a curated record